GCUAAACGCGAAGAACCUUACCCACACUUGACAUGCCUCUUUUGGCUUUCAGAGAUGAUUGCCUUCGGUUCGGCCGGGGAGUGCACAGGUGCUGCAUGGCUGUCGUCAGCUCGUGUCGUGAGAUGUUGGGUUAAGUCCCGCAACGAGCGCAACCCUUGCCAUCAGUUGCUACGAAAGGGCACUCUGAUGGGACUGCCGGUGACAAACCGGAGGAAGGUGGGGAUGACGUCAAGUCCUCAUGGCCCUUACGUGUGGGGCUAGAAACGUGCUACAAUGGGAGUGACAGUGAGCAGCAAGGUCGUGAGGCCAAGCUAAUCCCUAAAAGCCAUCUCAGUUCAGAUUGUAGUCUGCAACUCGACUACAUGAAGUUGGAAUCGCUAGUAAUCGUGAAUCAGCAUGUCACGGUGAAUACGUUCCCGGGUCUUGUACACACCG
Molecule: ribosomal RNA, 435 nt
Filed under: uncultured bacterium
Lineage: Bacteria
Description: bacterial SSU rRNA
Rfam family: Bacterial small subunit ribosomal RNA
Source: RNAcentral